Molecule: non-coding RNA, 73 nt
Organism: Harmonia axyridis
Lineage: Eukaryota; Metazoa; Arthropoda; Insecta; Coleoptera; Coccinellidae
Source: the annotation of a RefSeq genome assembly
UCCCCGGUAGCUCAACGGCUAGAGCAUCGGACAUGUUAUUCGGAGGUUGCGGGUUCGAGCCCCGCUCGGGGAG